UACGGAGGGUGCAAGCGUUAUCCGGAUUUACUGGGUUUAAAGGGUGCGUAGGUGGACAUUUAAGUCAGCGGUGAAAUCUCCGGGCUUAACUCGGAAAUUGCCAUUGAUACUAUUUGUCUUGAAUUAUCUGGAGGUGAGCGGAAUAUGUCAUGUAGCGGUGAAAUGCUUAGAUAUGACAUAGAACACCAAUUGCGAAGGCAGCUCACUACGGAUAUAUUGACACUGAGGCACGAAAGCGUGGGGAGCAAACGGG
RNAcentral lists this ribosomal RNA (253 nucleotides) under uncultured bacterium. RNAcentral's name for it is "partial 16S ribosomal RNA". It matches the Rfam family "Bacterial small subunit ribosomal RNA", at positions 524 to 776 of the family's 1533-position model. The record is from RNAcentral.